Molecule: long non-coding RNA, 520 nt
Filed under: Mus musculus (house mouse)
Lineage: Eukaryota; Metazoa; Chordata; Mammalia; Rodentia; Muridae
Description: predicted gene, 32750
Source: RNAcentral
GGAGAAGAAAACGACUAGCACCUGAUCUCUGCCUUAUUAGAAAUGCAAUAUAAAAUAUUGAAGUUGCCAAACUGAACAGGAAGAAGUCAGUGGAAAACAUGUUUACUAUGAGAUUACAGACAAAAGGUUGUCAAGUCUUAGAAGAACAGAAAGAAAAAGAAACUUCACUCAAGUACUUCAAUAUCCAAGUGUAUUGUAAAGAAGAAGGAAUCAAGCAAUUGAACACUGAGGUACCAGGCGAAGGAACCUAAGCAAGCCAGGGGAAGGAGGCUGUGUUUCACUACAGAAUUUGAAACCAGAUCCCAGAUGUCCUAGAACACAGCAAAGUCUCAAAGAGGAAGACGUCAUAAUGGGAAUAGAGGGAGUCAUCACACUAUGGAUUCUUCUACAUCUUUUACAACACGCUCUUGUUCAAUAGGCACCCCCGAAUCAUGACCUCUGGAAGGAUGAAGGUCAAUGAGACAAGCCAUACACCUCUCUAUCUUUUGCCUAAAGAACAAUUUUCUAACUUUGCAACUUG